AGAGUUUGAUCCUGGCUCAGAUUGAACGCUGGCGGCAUGCCUAACACAUGCGAGUCCAACGUGAAAGGGGGGCAACCCUGGUGGCGAGUGGCGAACGGGUGAGUAAUGCAUCGGAACGUAUCCUUGAGUGGGGGAUAACGCAGCGAAAGUUGUGCUAAUACCGCAUAAGCUCUGAGGAGGAAAGCGGGGGACCGAAAGGCCUCGCGCUGAAGGAGCGGCCGAUGUCCGAUUAGCUAGUUGGUGAGGUAAAGGCUUACCAAGGCGACGAUCGGUAGCUGGUCUGAGGGGACGACCAGCCACACUGGGACUGAGACACGGCCCAGACUCCUACGGGAGGCGAC
RNAcentral lists this ribosomal RNA (341 nucleotides) under uncultured prokaryote. RNAcentral's name for it is "bacterial SSU rRNA". It matches the Rfam family "Bacterial small subunit ribosomal RNA", at positions 8 to 352 of the family's 1533-position model. The record is from RNAcentral.